This 115-nucleotide ribosomal RNA is filed under the name uncultured bacterium. Its description in RNAcentral is "partial 16S ribosomal RNA". It matches the Rfam family "Bacterial small subunit ribosomal RNA", at positions 1384 to 1500 of the family's 1533-position model. The record is from RNAcentral.
UACACACCGCCCGUCACACCAUGGAGUCAGUAACGCCCGAAGUCAGUGACCGAACCGAAAGGACGGAGCUGCCGAAGGCGGGACGGAUAACUGGGUGAAGUCGUAACAAGGUAUC